RNAcentral lists this unclassified non-coding RNA (193 nucleotides) under uncultured Chaetothyriales. RNAcentral's name for it is "sequence contains ITS1". The record is from RNAcentral. Lineage: Eukaryota; Fungi; Ascomycota; Eurotiomycetes; Chaetothyriales.
CCGAGUUCCGGGUCCUCUGGGCCCGAUCUCCCAACCCUAUGUUUAACAUACCUUGUGUUGCUUCGGUAGGCCGGGAUACUCGUCCUGCCGGAGGGCCGUUAAACGCCCCCCGGAGAGUGCCUACCGAUAGCCUCAACCUCAAAUUCUUUAACUAAACAUGUUAUUGUCUAAGUCAAACUUUGCAAUUAAAACA